GAAGAGGGGUCGCACAGCUGGGGUCCCCCUGUGCAGCUGGUCUUGUGGUGGAUGUCGUUCCAGGUGAUGACAUUCGGUCUCCCUGUGGUCAUGGACGUGCCGAUAGUGAAGUCUCCAUUCAGCAACAAAUGGAUUCUCAGAAGUGAUGGAAGUUAGCUGGUCUCUACACUCCAGACAACUCAGCAAAAAUGUGAAGACAGAAUAAUCUAUCUUUCAGCCUUCCCUUCACCUGAAAAUACUCCUAAUGUUUCUGCCACUGUCUAACUUGUUCCAUUUUCCAUCACUCUUCUGUGCAGCUUCUUCACCCCUCUGCAGCCAGAAUUGCACAUUACUCUUUGUCCAGCAGGAAGACACCUAUAGGCCUUGACUACUCCUGUUUUUACAGAGUGAUGCUCCUGGCUCUGUUGGGUUGGUCAGAUCCCUUCCUAUUGUGCCUCCCUUCCCCUAAG
This 449-nucleotide long non-coding RNA is filed under the name Pan troglodytes (chimpanzee). Its description in RNAcentral is "long non-coding RNA NONPTRT003420". The record is from RNAcentral. Lineage: Eukaryota; Metazoa; Chordata; Mammalia; Primates; Hominidae.